This 467-nucleotide ribosomal RNA is filed under the name uncultured bacterium. RNAcentral's name for it is "partial 16S ribosomal RNA". It matches the Rfam family "Bacterial small subunit ribosomal RNA", at positions 28 to 507 of the family's 1533-position model. The record is from RNAcentral.
GACGAACGCUGGCGGCGUGCUUAACACAUGCAAGUCGAACGGAAAGGCCUCUUUCGGGGGGUACUCGAGUGGCGAACGGGUGAGUAACACGUGAGUAACCUGCCCUUGACUUUGGGAUAACUUCAGGAAACUGGGGCUAAUACCGGAUAGGAGCUCCUGCUGCAUGGUGGGGGUUGGAAAGUUUCGGCGGUUGGGGAUGGACUCGCGGCUUAUCAGCUUGUUGGUGGGGUAGUGGCUUACCAAGGCUUUGACGGGUAGCCGGCCUGAGAGGGUGACCGGCCACAUUUGGACUGAGAUACGGCCCAGACUCCUACGGGAGGCAGCAGUGGGGAAUAUUGCACAAUGGGUGGAAGCCUGAUGCAGCAACGCCGUGUGCGGGAUGACGGCCUUCGGGUUGGAAACCGCUUUCGCUCAUGACGAAGCUUUGUGUGACGGUAGUGGGUAAAGAAGCACCGGCUAACUACGUG